RNAcentral lists this transfer RNA (64 nucleotides) under Pectinatella magnifica. RNAcentral describes it as "tRNA-Gly". The record is from RNAcentral. Lineage: Eukaryota; Metazoa; Bryozoa; Phylactolaemata; Pectinatellidae.
ACUUUAUUAGUACAAAUAGUAUAUCUACCUUCCAAGUAGAAGAUUUAAACCCUUAAAUAAAGUA